Molecule: non-coding RNA, 143 nt
Filed under: Burkholderia cenocepacia
Lineage: Bacteria; Pseudomonadati; Pseudomonadota; Betaproteobacteria; Burkholderiales; Burkholderiaceae
Source: RNAcentral
GUCGCUUCAAUACGCGAACGUUCGCGCGUACAAUUCGCCCGAUACGAAGCGCGGAAGCCGGUGCAAUUCCGGCGCGGUCGCGCCACUGUAACCGGGGAAUCGAUGAUCCCGGAAGCCAGACCUGCCUUCGUACCCAUCCAUCA